CGUCAACAGGCACCUCCAAGCCCCGCGCUGUCCGUACACCGCACCGGCUGCGCCGUGGCCUGGAGGAAGAGCUGUGCAAUAGCCUGGCCCCGGCCCGCUACUUCUAAUUCCCGCUGGUGCACUUAUACCGCUUAAGCAGCGCUGCCUCAGAGGGACCUCUGCAGAAAUGAAGAAGACGAUUAAUAAUGGCUACCUAUGUCCCUCACUGAUACCACAGAUGGUGCCCAACGUCGCCAAGUGACUAGGCGGAGGAAAGUUCACAGAGGAGGAAUACACGAGAUAAGGACAUGGGAAAAUGAAGAGAGAGAAAAGGCAAAAAGAAGAAAUGAAAGUUUGGAAGAAGGGAGGUACGUAAACUCGUGUUUAGUAUUUCCUACAGUCUGGGUGGGG
Molecule: long non-coding RNA, 390 nt
Filed under: Chinchilla lanigera (long-tailed chinchilla)
Lineage: Eukaryota; Metazoa; Chordata; Mammalia; Rodentia; Chinchillidae
Description: lncRNA (ENSCLAG00000025202.1)
Source: RNAcentral